CCCUUAGAUGUUCUGGGCCGCACGCGUGCUACACUGACCGGCGCAACAAGUUUCUUUCCUUGGCUCGAUAGGCCUGGGUAAUCUUUGAACGCCGGUCGUGAUGGGGAUAGAUCCUUGCAAUUUUUGAUCUUCAACGAGGAAUUCCUAGUAAAUGCGAGUCAUCAUCUCGCGUUGAUACGUCCCUGCCCUUUGUACACACCGCCCGUCGCACCUACCGAUUGAAUGGUCCGGUGAAGCCUCGGGAUUGCGAAUGCUUCGUGCGGACGCGAGAACUUGGCUAAACCUUACCAUUUAGAGGAAGGUGAAGUCGUAACA
RNAcentral lists this ribosomal RNA (315 nucleotides) under uncultured eukaryote. RNAcentral's name for it is "partial 18S ribosomal RNA". It matches the Rfam family "Eukaryotic small subunit ribosomal RNA", at positions 1470 to 1796 of the family's 1831-position model. The record is from RNAcentral.